GAUGAACGCUGGCGGCGUGCCUAAUACAUGCCAGUCGAGCGAACACAUGGGGGGUUUCCCCCUCUGACGUUAGCCGCACGCGGGUGUAUUACAUGUGGAUAACCCCCCUAUAGGACUGGGAUAACUUCGAGACACCGGAGCUAAUACCGGAUAAUAUCUUGAACCACCUGGUUCAAUAGUGAAAGACGGCUUUGCUGUUGCUUAUAGAUGGAUUCGCGCCUGAUUGGCUAGUUGGUAGGGUAACGGGCUACCAAGGCGACGAUGCGUACCCGGACUGAGAGGAGGACCAGCCACACGGGGACUGAGACACGGUCCAGACUCCUACGGGAGGCAGCAGUGGGGAAUUUUGGACAAUGGGCGAAAGCCUGAUCCAGCAAUGCCGCGGGUGUGAAGAAGGCCUUCGGGUUGGAAAAAACUUUUGUUCGGAAAAAAAAAAUUGGCCAUGAUACGGUCGGGGGAUGGCGGUACCGGAAGAAUAAGCCCCGGCUAACUACGUG
This 497-nucleotide ribosomal RNA is filed under the name uncultured bacterium. RNAcentral's name for it is "partial 16S ribosomal RNA". It matches the Rfam family "Bacterial small subunit ribosomal RNA", at positions 28 to 507 of the family's 1533-position model. The record is from RNAcentral.